CUUGGGUCUGAAGAGCGUUUUCCCACAUGACCCUGGCCGAAGAGGCAAUUUAGCUAGGUCGUCUCUGUUACUGAAACAUCUCCAAGGCAUUUGUUUCAACCCUUCUGAUCUAAGUAUACAACUGCGUAUUUCUACACUGAAAAAUAGAACCCGGGCUAGGACUAUCGAUUUUGUGAAAGAGCUCAAAACAUUAAAAGGUGCAGCCCACGCACCCAUGAGGCACUGACACUCAGAGAUGCACUCAAGCCAGGAUCACAUGCAAUAGUGAGGACUGGACACAUGGCUGAUUGGAAUUGGGAUGUGCUGUGUUUGCCACUGGAAUAACUUGGAGUCAGCCGGCCGUGUAUGCUACUUUCUGCCAAAGACUUUUGGGCCAUGGGGUUUCUUCACUACAAAAAUGAGUCCUUCCUAUCCCAGAGCAAUUGUGCUUAGUCUGUAUGGCUUGGGUGGAGUUUCCUUCCACCUCCCAUCCCACAAGAAAAGUCACGUGGCCUGGCCUUCAUCAGUUCCAGCAGGUAUUCCAAGAUUCUUUGCAGUGAUUGGCUCAGAGAUAUGUAGCAAUUGUUGACAUUUGGAGUUUCUUGACUCUCUUUGAUUGCAACUUUCUGUGCCCUGUUGCAAUAAAAUUCAGUUAAUACAGUAAUUAGUAUUCUGU
This 655-nucleotide long non-coding RNA is filed under the name Bos indicus x Bos taurus (hybrid cattle). RNAcentral describes it as "lncRNA (ENSBIXG00000025315.1)". Lineage: Eukaryota; Metazoa; Chordata; Mammalia; Artiodactyla; Bovidae. The record is from RNAcentral.